Molecule: ribosomal RNA, 477 nt
Filed under: uncultured bacterium
Lineage: Bacteria
Description: bacterial SSU rRNA
Rfam family: Bacterial small subunit ribosomal RNA
Source: RNAcentral
AUCGUAGACUCCUACGGGAGGCAGCAGUGGGAAUAUUGGACAAUGGGGGGGAACCCCUGAUCCAGCCAUGCCGCGUGUGUGAAGAAGGCCUUUUGGUUGUAAAGCACUUUAAGCGAGGAGGAGGCUUACCUGGGUUAAUACCUGGGAUAAGUGGACGUUACUCGCAGAAUAAGCACCGGCUAACUCUGUGCCAGCAGCCGCGGUAAUACAGAGGGUGCAAGCGUUAAUCGGAUUUACUGGGCGUAAAGCGCGCGUAGGGUGGCUAAUUAAGUCAAAUGUGAAAUCCCCGAGCUUAACUUGGGAAUUGCAUUCGAUACUGGUUAGCUAGAGUAUGGGAGAGGAUGGUAGAAUUCCAGGUGUAGCGGUGAAAUGCGUAGAGAUCUGGAGGAAUACCGAUGGCGAAGGCAGCCAUCUGGCCUAAUACUGACACUGAGGUGCGAAAGCAUGGGGAGCAAACAGGAUUAGAUACCCUGGUAG